Molecule: RNA transcript, 2234 nt
Organism: Dama dama (fallow deer)
Lineage: Eukaryota; Metazoa; Chordata; Mammalia; Artiodactyla; Cervidae
Gene: SNAPC3
Gene name: small nuclear RNA activating complex polypeptide 3
Exons: 11
Source: RefSeq, a predicted model, not a curated record
GCCGCUGUUCGCAGGGAAGGGAGUGGGGCGAACAUGGCUGAAGACAGCCGAGGAGACCCAGCGUGCGGUGGGAUGGAUGGCAGGCAGGAUCCGGUCCCCAGCAGUGGCGGCUUCAACUUUCCAGAGUACGAGCUUCCUGAGCUAAACACGCACGCUUUCCAUGUGGCCGCCUUCGGGGAGCUGUGGCGUGGCCGGCUGCGCGGGGAAGGGGACCUGUCGCUGAAGGAGCCGCCGGCACCGGCGCUGCCCGGGGCCGGAGGAGUCACCGACUCCGGCAGCGAGGAUGCCGCCGUGGCCCGCGAUCUGGGCUGCAGCCUGGAAACGGCAGCCGAGCUGAGGGCGGUGUGCGGCCUUGAUAAACUGAAGUGCCUUGAGGAAGGGGAGGAUCCAGAAGUCAUCCCAGAAAAUACUGACCUAGUGACUUUGGGGGUUAGAAAGAAGCUUCUGAAACACCGGGAAGAAACCUUAACGAUAGAUCGAGCCUGCAGACAAGAGACAUUUGCUUAUGAGAUGGAGUCACAUGCUAUAGGGAAAAAGCCUGAAAAUUCAGCAGACAUGAUUGAAGAAGGAGAGCUUAUCCUAUCUGUAAAUAUCUUUUACCCUGUGAUUUUUCAUAAGCACAAAGAACAUAAGCCCUACCAAACGAUGCUGGUAUUAGGCAGUCAAAAGCUCACGGAACUGAGGGAUUCCAUUUGCUGUGUCAGUGACCUCCAGAUUGGUGGGGAAUUCAGCAACACUCCUGACCAGGCUCCUGAGAACAUCAGCAAGGACCUAUACAAAUCAGCCUUCUUUUAUUUUGAAGGAACAUUUUAUAAUGAUAAAAGAUACCCUGAGUGCAGAGAUUUGAGCAGAACCAUCAUUGAGUGGUCAGAGUCCCAUGAUAGAGGCUAUGGAAAGUUUCAGACUGCUAAGAUGGAAGACUUCACCUUCAAUGAUUUGUAUAUUAAAGUGGGUUUUCCUUACUUAUACUGUCACCAGGGAGACUGUGAACAUGUUGUUGUCAUUACUGACAUAAGGCUUGUGCAUCAUGACGACUGCCUGGAUAAGACACUUUAUCCCCUUCUUAUCAAGAAGCAUUGGCUCUGGACCAGAAAAUGUUUUGUUUGUAAAAUGUUCACAGCUCGAUGGGUGACGAACAAUGACAGUUUUGCACCACAGGAUCCAUGUUUCUUUUGUGAUGUUUGCUUCCGAAUGCUCCAUUAUGAUGCAGAAGGCAACAAACUGGGGGAAUUCCUCGCUUAUCCCUAUGUUGAUCCUGGAACCUUUAAUUAAUAUCCAAAAGUGUACCCUUGUGAAAUAACUUGGUUACUUUGCUUCCAAGAAAUGCCAACGAGGAACAGGAUCCACCAGAAACAAAUCGGCUAAAGUUGUCAUCCCCGCAAAGAGAAGUUCAAAUCACAGAUCUUCUUAAGCAGUCUGAAUGUAUUUAAAUGUUUGAAUUAAAUUAUUUUAAUAUUUAUUCCAAAGUAUAGUUUCUUGCCCACUUUUAAGUGAGUUGUCUAUUGAAUUGUAGGAGUGCUUUAUGUAUUCUGAAUACAAAUCCUUUGUCAGACAUUAAGUAUUCUGGUUUUCUCCCAGUCUGUACUUUGCCUAUUUGCUUUGUCCAGAGGGGUUUUUGCUCCUCUACCAUUAGCAAAAUUCUCCUAACGAUACAUCAAGUGAUGGAAGUGUUUUGAAAAUUCUUUGAAGAAUAUGAGAGCUACACCUUGUACCAUGAGGCUUCCAAGGUUAUAUUUAUAUUCAGCUGAAUUCCACUUUCCCUGGAUGGCUGAGAACAUUUACCAUAUAAAUCAAAAACUGAUGAAGCCUGGAAGAUGUGUGUUUAAAAAGUUGACAAUAAAAUGUUUUAUGGACUUAUAUGCCACUUAAAUCAGUUAAGUCAACUGUGGUAUGUAGAAGACAAUCACCUGUCACCUGUUUCUCUAGUGGCUGUACUCACUGGUUCAAUCAGUACACCAGAGAAUCAGCAUAAGAAACUAAGAAGUCCCUUCAUGGCUGGCUGGCUGUUAUUGCCUAAAUGUUUACUUUCAUGUCUCCAAUGAUGUUCAAUUUAAACCAAUUGAAAAUCCUGCUGGAAAACCUGAAAUUUAUCCAAUUCCUUAAAAGUUCCACCGUAGAUCCUUUCUCUGGCCAAUUGGACAAAAUAAGUUGUUAGUGAAGGCUUCAGAGCUUUGUGAAAGCCUUUGUACAGAAUUAGAUGGCACACCUCAUCUUGACCGGACAUCUUUAACCAG